RNAcentral lists this ribosomal RNA (468 nucleotides) under uncultured bacterium. Its description in RNAcentral is "partial 16S ribosomal RNA". It matches the Rfam family "Bacterial small subunit ribosomal RNA", at positions 28 to 507 of the family's 1533-position model. The record is from RNAcentral.
GACGAACGCUGGCGGCGUGCUUAACACAUGCAAGUCGAACGGAAAGGCCCUGCUUUUUUGGGGUUCUCGAUUGGCGAACGGGUGAGUAACACGUGAGUAACCUGCCCUUGACUUUGGGAUAACUUCAGGAAACUUGGGCUAAUACCGGAUAGGAUCUCCUGCUGCAUGGUGGGUUUUGGCAAUUUUCGGCGGUUGGGGAUGGACUCGCGGCUUAUCAGCUUGUUGGUGGGGUAGUGGCUUACCAAGGCUUUGACGGGUAGCCGGCAUGAGAGGGUGACCGGCCACAUUGGGACUGAGAUACGGCCCAGACUCCUACGGGAGGCAGCAGCGGGGAAUAUUGCACAAUGGGCGGAAGCCUGAUGCAGCAACGCCGCGUGCGGGAUGACGGCCUUCGGGUUGUAAACCGCUUUCGCCUGUGACGAAGCGUGAGUGACGGUAAUGGGUAAAGAAGCACCGGCUAACUACGUG